Long non-coding RNA from Suricata suricatta (meerkat), 518 nucleotides. RefSeq lists it as uncharacterized. The record is from RefSeq and is a predicted model, not a curated record. Lineage: Eukaryota; Metazoa; Chordata; Mammalia; Carnivora; Herpestidae. The transcript is spliced from 2 exons.
CAUCUGCUGCCCGGUUCAAGGAGAAGACGUCAAAGCACCAGAGGUCCAGGUUCUAUGGAGAAACAACAGACUCGGCAGGGAGACUCCCAAGGGGAACUUCCCAGCAGCAGCAAGGGUUGCAGUCAGACUUCAAGGAGGACUUCCCAAUGUUCACAGAGAGUUGGGAAACAGGAAGAUGAAGACAUGCCCCGGGUCGCUGUGCCUGUCUGGUAUCCUGUCUGGUAUCGUGCCCACGUCUCUCACCGUGUCUCGUCUAUAUAGACGGCCUCCAGGAGAGAAGCUGUGUACUCCAGGUUCUUCUUCAGUUCCUCAAUGUUUACCUCCCCGUUCUCCAACUGCUUCACCAUGUAGCGCAGCCUGUGGGGGGCGGGGACGCAGAGCCUGGUCAGACGCUGCUACCUUGUUGUGGGAACGGGACACCCGCUGAUGGGGUGCAUUUUACAGACCUGGCCUCAGUCUUCCAUAAAUCGUCACUCUUUCUAACAGUGAGAAUAAGAGCUAGUGUUUCUCAUCCCAGC